This 270-nucleotide ribosomal RNA is filed under the name Triticum aestivum (bread wheat). RNAcentral describes it as "partial small subunit ribosomal RNA". Lineage: Eukaryota; Viridiplantae; Streptophyta; Magnoliopsida; Poales; Poaceae. The record is from RNAcentral.
UGAGGCUUGAUGUCAAAGUGGAGGAUGCGCUGGUUGCACCCUUGAUGCAAGUACUCCAUUCCUCUGGCAAUGCCUAAAGCAAUAUCUAGCAGCUUGUCGGGUACCAGAAGAUGCUGGAAAUUUGCAGAGUCACGAGAGAAAAUAUAUUUCUCUAGUGACUCAUUAGGCAUGAAUUCAUAAAUAAGAGCCCGUCUCAUUCCUUCGGAACAAAAUCCCAGGAGGCGGACAAUAUUGGCAUGAUGGAUAAGUCCGAUGGUUGCAACUUCGUUG